UACGAAGGGGGCUAGCGUUGUUCGGAAUCACUGGGCGUAAAGCGCGCGUAGGCGGCUUGACAAGUCAGGGGUGAAAUCCCACAGCUUAACUGUGGAACUGCCUUUGAUACUGUCUGGCUAGAAGGCGAUAGGGGAUAGCGGAAUUCCUGGUGUAGAGGUGAAAUUCGUAGAUACCAGGAGGAACACCGGUGGCGAAGGCGGCUAUCUGGAUCGCACUUGACGCUCUGGCGCGAAAGCGUGGGGAUCAAACAGG
This 253-nucleotide ribosomal RNA is filed under the name uncultured bacterium. Its description in RNAcentral is "partial 16S ribosomal RNA". It matches the Rfam family "Bacterial small subunit ribosomal RNA", at positions 524 to 776 of the family's 1533-position model. The record is from RNAcentral.